CACCGCGGUUAUACGGAGAGGCUCAAAUUAAUAUUCCACGGCGUAAAGCGUGAUUAGAGAAAAUGUAAACUAAAGCCGAACACCUCCCUAGCUGUUAUACGCCCAAAGAGGCACGAAGCCCCACAACGAAAGUAGCUUUAAUUUAACAUCUUGAAUUCACGAAAAUUAAGAAA
Molecule: ribosomal RNA, 173 nt
Filed under: Ophichthus zophistius
Lineage: Eukaryota; Metazoa; Chordata; Actinopteri; Anguilliformes; Ophichthidae
Description: partial 12S ribosomal RNA
Source: RNAcentral